This 197-nucleotide ribosomal RNA is filed under the name uncultured bacterium. Its description in RNAcentral is "partial 16S ribosomal RNA". It matches the Rfam family "Bacterial small subunit ribosomal RNA", at positions 335 to 524 of the family's 1533-position model. The record is from RNAcentral.
ACUCCUACGGGAGGCAGCAGUAGGGAAUCUUCCACAAUGGACGAAAGUCUGAUGGAACAACGCCGCGUGAGUGAAGAAGGUUUUCGGAUCGUAAAACUCUGUUGUAAGGGAAGAACACGUACGAGAGUAACUGCUCGUACCUUGACGGUACCUUAUUAGAAAGCCACGGCUAACUACGUGCCAGCAGCCGCGGUAAU